GCAUCGAACUGCCGUCCCGUCCUCCUCUUCAAUCCUUUUUCUCCCAGGCGCGCUACCCAUGCCCUGGCGGGUGCAUUUUGGGGAUCCUGUGCUGUGUACCUGUGAAACGGAAUCCGAAAGUCCCACCGUCCCUAUCCGCCCGACGUCUCUCUGGGGCGUGGGGUGGACCUCGUAGCAGUCCCCGUGUUCCAAGCAUGCGCCACAACAUGUGCCGCUGCCGUGGCCCACGGGAUCCUGCUUGUGCUCUCGGAUGCGGAAAAUUACAUGGGCGCGGGGUCUCGGCCCCUAUCCGUCCAACCAAGCGUUUGUCGCUCGACACGCACGACGACCUCGCACCGCCUUGACCCUCCCUCGUCCCCUCGGGCUCGUUGGAGCGGCUCAUGCGGCGCCGGCGUCGCGGAGGAAUGCUACCUGGUUGAUCCUGCCAGUAGUCAUAUGCUUGUCUCAAAGAUUAAGCCAUGCAUGUGUAAGUAUGAACUAAUUCAGACUGUGAAACUG
This 498-nucleotide unclassified non-coding RNA is filed under the name Sloanea synandra. RNAcentral describes it as "partial contains external transcribed spacer and small subunit ribosomal RNA". The stretch from base 409 to 498 matches the Rfam family "Eukaryotic small subunit ribosomal RNA", at positions 1 to 89 of the family's 1831-position model. The record is from RNAcentral. Lineage: Eukaryota; Viridiplantae; Streptophyta; Magnoliopsida; Oxalidales; Elaeocarpaceae.